GAUCAUCAGAUUAAUAAAAAAAAACUUAUCAAUAUUUAAAAUUGAAAACAUUUAACACAAAAUCUCAUUCUCUCAACCGAAACAGUACGAAACUGAAAAUAAUAUUUACAACAUCAAUUCUAAAAAAAACAUAAAUAAUGUUGAUACAACUAUACUCGUGUUAAAGAAGAACCAACACACAAUCAUAACGAAAAAUAAUUUAACAACCAGGCAUAUGCGACACAGGUUGUUACCAUAAUGUCAUCAGCGGUGGGUUUGCUUCCGAUCCCAGUAGAAAGGUUGGAGUUGAAACUUUCACAUUGUUGAUCAAUUUUCUUUUGUCUUAAAGUAGCAUCAUCCUCGAUGGACCAAAGCAUGAAUCAUCACCAACCUUGACGUACUCCUUUUUAGCUCCAUCACUAAUGGAUGUUCCAAACAAUGGUUGUUCACUCCACAAAUACGACAAUAUCAAGAUAAUUGUACAUCUUGUAAAAACAAUCUCAAACCAAAGGAAUAGCCCACAAUAUACAUGGAGUAAAAAGGAGAUGAUGACGCAGACUCAAGCAAUCUUAUUACUUCAUCUCUAAAUUUUUUUCUAGGGAGGAUGACGUCAGAGACCUUUGGGAGAAGAAGAGGGUCCUUCCCAAGAGAGAAAGAUCAAAAA
This is a long non-coding RNA of Lathyrus oleraceus (garden pea), 643 nucleotides long. RefSeq lists it as uncharacterized. NCBI's taxonomy places the organism in Eukaryota, Viridiplantae, Streptophyta, Magnoliopsida, Fabales, Fabaceae. The transcript has 2 exons. The record is from RefSeq and is a predicted model, not a curated record.